UACCUUUCCGCUCUAAGUUCUCUGCCUUGGU
This 31-nucleotide non-coding RNA is filed under the name Mus musculus (house mouse). The record is from RNAcentral. Lineage: Eukaryota; Metazoa; Chordata; Mammalia; Rodentia; Muridae.